This 336-nucleotide long non-coding RNA is filed under the name Malus domestica (apple). Its description in RNAcentral is "long non-coding RNA (MDOM_LNC015277)". Lineage: Eukaryota; Viridiplantae; Streptophyta; Magnoliopsida; Rosales; Rosaceae. The record is from RNAcentral.
UAUAAUAUAAAAUUCACUUAUCAAAAUACCCCCAAACUUAGCUUUUUGCUUGUCCUCAAGCAAAACAAGACUAGAAAACAAAAAUAAAAACUAACAAACUUGACACUUAACUAAAACUUAGCUAAAACAAAAUUCUCACUUUCAAGUUGCAAUCCAUAGAAAAUGUUAAAAAUCAGAAUAUCUUUUCAAAAGUUCCAACCAAUCUCACCGUAGAGUCUAAGCCAUUUAGAAUCAAUUAGAAAAGAAUUCACAAACUUCCUUUGGUGUAAAGUGAACCAACAUAGUUAAAGAGACUCGACUAAAACUCUUACCUCUCAUCCCUUUAUUCAUACUUCA